AUUGAACGCUGGCGGCAUGCUUUACACAUGCAAGUCGAACGGCAGCGCGGGCUUCGGCCUGGCGGCGAGUGGCGCACGGGUGUGUAAUGCAUCGGAGCGUGCUCCGCAGUGGGGGAUAGUACGGCGAAAGCAGGAUUACUAACGCAUACGACCUGCUGGUGCAAGCGGGGGACCGAAGGGCCUUGUGCUAUUGUAGCGGCCGAUGUCGGAGUAGCUAGUUUGUGGGGUAAAGGCUUACCAAGGCGACGAUCCGUAGCUGGACUGAGAGGACGACCGGCCACACUGGGACUGGGACACGGCCCAGGCUCCUACGGGAGGCAGCAGUGGGGAAUUUUGGACAACGGUGGCAACCCUGAUCCAGCCAGGCCGCGUGCGGGAAGGAGGCCUUCGGGUUGUAAACCGCUUUUGUUCGGGAAGAAAUCCUCUGGGCUAAUACCCCGGGGGGAUGAUGGUACCGGAAGAAGAAGCACCGGCUAACUACGUG
RNAcentral lists this ribosomal RNA (484 nucleotides) under uncultured bacterium. Its description in RNAcentral is "partial 16S ribosomal RNA". It matches the Rfam family "Bacterial small subunit ribosomal RNA", at positions 28 to 507 of the family's 1533-position model. The record is from RNAcentral.